UACGUAGGGUGCAAGCGUUGUCCGGAAUUAUUGGGCGUAAAGAGCUCGUAGGCGGUCUGUCGCGUCGGAUGUGAAAAUCCAGGGCUCAACCCUGGACCUGCAUUCGAUACGGGCAGACUAGAGUUCGGUAGGGGAGACUGGAAUUCCUGGUGUAGCGGUGAAAUGCGCAGAUAUCAGGAGGAACACCGGUGGCGAAGGCGGGUCUCUGGGCCGAGACUGACGCUGAGGAGCGAAAGCGUGGGGAGCAAACAGG
This 253-nucleotide ribosomal RNA is filed under the name uncultured bacterium. RNAcentral describes it as "partial 16S ribosomal RNA". It matches the Rfam family "Bacterial small subunit ribosomal RNA", at positions 524 to 776 of the family's 1533-position model. The record is from RNAcentral.